Molecule: ribosomal RNA, 254 nt
Filed under: uncultured bacterium
Lineage: Bacteria
Description: partial 16S ribosomal RNA
Rfam family: Bacterial small subunit ribosomal RNA
Source: RNAcentral
CACGUAGGGGGCAAGCGUUGUCCGGAAUUAUUGGACGUAAAGAGCUCGUAGGCGGCUCGGUAAGUCAGGUGUCAAAUCCUCAGGCUCAACCUGGGGCUCCACCUGAUACUGCUGUGGCUAGAGUCCGGUAGGGGAGCGUGGAAUUCCUGGUGUAGCGGUGAAAUGACGCAGAUAUCAGGAGGAACACCAGCGGCGAAGGCGGCGCUCUGGGCCGGAACUGACGCUGAGGAGCGAAAGCGUGGGUAGCAAACAGG